GCUGUAAGAACUAAGAAGUGACAUGUUUAUUUUUGAAAAACCUGUAAUGAUUGUGUUUGUUUUCUCUUAAUAAAUUCUCUUAAUGGGAAAUAAAUUAAUACAAUUAGUUCUUAUAUUUCCUAGUAAACUUCCAAUCAUAAGAAUGGAUGAGGACAAAUAGCUAUGAAACUUUCCAUCACACUAGACCUUCCCUUCCCUGACUAUUGCCUGCUAGACAGUACUGAGCAAAUUGAACAAUUGUGGGGAUUCAACAAUGAAGACAUGAAAUGGUAAUAGUGGGACAAGCUUCCUGUGUAUCAAAUUAAGAGUUAAUUAAAAAUUCAUAGAAGGCAUUAAUAUUAAUUUCAUGUUAUCACUCUUUUGCAUUAUAUAAAUUAGGUAGAAGGUUUUCUAUUUAUAAUUUCAUUGGAUAUAAUAAUAAUAUAAAUUUUGACUAAUUAAAUGCAUUCUAAUAUUGA
Anthonomus grandis grandis is the source of this 458-nucleotide long non-coding RNA. RefSeq lists it as uncharacterized. NCBI's taxonomy places the organism in Eukaryota, Metazoa, Arthropoda, Insecta, Coleoptera, Curculionidae. The record is from RefSeq and is a predicted model, not a curated record. The transcript is spliced from 2 exons.